Long non-coding RNA from Mytilus californianus (California mussel), 1561 nucleotides. RefSeq lists it as uncharacterized. The record is from RefSeq and is a predicted model, not a curated record. The transcript is spliced from 3 exons. NCBI's taxonomy places the organism in Eukaryota, Metazoa, Mollusca, Bivalvia, Mytilida, Mytilidae.
CUCACUGAUGUAUAAAUGGAUCGACGAUAAUACAACAAAGAAGAAAAUAAAUAUAACCGAAAAUGAGCAGAUUGCGACCUCUGAUGUUUUUCCGAUCAAUAACUGUAAUGUAAAACUUAAUAUUUUUAAUGUCUUAUUAUACGCAAGCAAACACUACAGUACUACAUUAAAUGUAUAAAUCAGAAAAGAAAUAUCUGCGGAAAUAACUACUGAAAUGAAGUGCAAAUACUAAAUAUAUGACAUAUUGUAAUGGCGCAUGUGAAAGUUGACACAACGAAGAUACUUACACGAUUUAAUACAGAGCCAUGUACACUCAUAAGUAUUGAUGAAAGGGGAAUUUUGACCGGAACCGAUAUAUUACUUCAACUCAACCGAGUUAUCGACACAACCGAGUUCAACACAACGAGGUUCGACUGUAUAUACUUGAGCAAACAAUACUUUAUAAAAGACAUCACGUAAUCAUCGCGAUUAAAUUCAAGUCACCCGGAAUAGUUACAAUUAAAUUCAAAUAUGCUUCCUUUAAGCAAUAUGUAACAUUCAAUAAUAUCGGAUACCCACUCAAUGUUGGUGAUAUGUAUAAAGAUAAUAAUAACAUAAACUAAAUCUUAUUUCAACCAUUCCGUAUUGUAUUCGUUUCAUGAAAAGCAAUCCGCCAUUUUGCAGUAAACAAUAACAAUUUAUUCUUUUUAAGUUUCGUGCAGCUUGUUUUCAGGACGAUACACUAUAGCUGUGUAUUUAUCACUAGAGUCCUUGCUAAUGAUAAUAUAUAUACUCUGUAUUACAGCUGGCGACAUGGUAUUGUAGGUCGGCAGGUUCCAUUUACCCAGGUCAACAAUGGACACAACAGCACGAUAAAAUAGAAGUGUGAGGCUAGCCGUUUACAUCAACAUGUCGUCAGAAAAAAAGACAAACAAGUCACUUUGCAUAAUCAAAUAUAAAUACACAAACCUAAAAGUGAAUAAUGCAGCUAGGAAAAAAAUGAUCUGUAGGAGAAUGCAUAAUGCUCAACCUCUUUGAUUUUUGGAUAAAAAGACAAACCAACAGAGUCUUGCGAAGAAAGAAAAUAUUUGCCUACAAUUAGUAGCCUAAAUUCAGAAGUGGAGCCACUGACUUAAACAAAGAAUUUCAGAGUUAAAUAAAACAAUUAUAGCACGUUGUUUAUCAAAGUAAAGAUGGACAAAUGUUAAAAUCCCUAGAACUACAUUGUAUGCGUAUUGGUGCGAUUUAUAAACCGUAUGUAGUCAUUUAUAAUAAUUUUACUUCUCAUUUCAAAAAUAGUUGUUUUUUCGUUCAGAUUAAGGAGGUACUAACACGUGCUCGUUGAAUUAUAGAAUGUAGAUACACAUGUUACUAUUUUCGAUUGUGAGAUGUAAUAUGUGUAUGCAACCAUUCUAGAUUAAUUGAGAAAUAAGUUAAAAUUAACGUUAUAAUGCUGAAUUAGGUCAAUGCAUAAACAGCAAAUAUUUUGUCGUAAAACAUUACUAAUCUUGCAAUCUCGAUGUAUUUAUCUUACUUUCCAUAUGUUUCUUUCCAUACAAUGUACACAAUUCAAUAAAAAUUA